ACGAGAGGUUUCGAUUCUGGCUCAGGAUGAACGCUGGCGGCGUGCCUAAUACAUGCAAGUCGAACGGAAAUUUAUCGCUGAAGUGGGUUUACUCAAUUCUUGAUAAAUUUAGUGGCGGACGGGUGAGUAACGCGUGGGUAACCUGCCUUACACUGGGGGACAACAGUUGGAAACGACUGCUAAUACCGCAUAAGCGCACAGAAUCGCAUGAUUCAGUGUGAAAAACUCCGGUGGUGUAAGAUGGACCCGCGUCUGAUUAGCUAGUUGGUGAGGUAACGGCCCACCAAGGCGACGAUCAGUAGCCGGCCUGAGAGGGUGAACGGCCACAUUGGGACUGAGACACGGCCCAAACUCCUACGGGAGGCAGCAGUAGGGAAUAUUGCACAAUGGGGGAAACCCUGAUGCCAGCAACGCCGCGUGAGUGAAGAAGUAUUUCGGUAUGUAAAGCUCUAUCAGCAGGGAAGAAAAUGACGGUACCUGACUAAGAAGCCCCGGCUAACUACGUGCCAGCAGCCGC
This 517-nucleotide ribosomal RNA is filed under the name uncultured bacterium. RNAcentral describes it as "bacterial SSU rRNA". It matches the Rfam family "Bacterial small subunit ribosomal RNA", at positions 1 to 518 of the family's 1533-position model. The record is from RNAcentral.